GAUCCUGGCUCAGAACGAACGCUGGCGGCGUGCCUAACACAUGCAAGUCGAGCGCGAAAAGGGCAGCCUGAGUAGAGCGGCGCACGGGUGCGUAACACGUGGGUAAUCUGCCUUUGAGUCGAGGAUAACCUUCCGAAAGGUUGGCUAAUACUCGGUAAGCUUACGGAGACUUUGGUCUCUGUGAGAAAAGUAGGCCUCUAUUUAUAAGCUUACGCUUGAAGAUGAGCCCGCGGCCC
This 236-nucleotide ribosomal RNA is filed under the name uncultured bacterium. RNAcentral's name for it is "partial 16S ribosomal RNA". It matches the Rfam family "Bacterial small subunit ribosomal RNA", at positions 15 to 239 of the family's 1533-position model. The record is from RNAcentral.